Sander lucioperca (pikeperch) is the source of this 240-nucleotide long non-coding RNA. RefSeq lists it as uncharacterized. The record is from RefSeq and is a predicted model, not a curated record. NCBI's taxonomy places the organism in Eukaryota, Metazoa, Chordata, Actinopteri, Perciformes, Percidae. The transcript is spliced from 2 exons.
UUUCUUUCUCCCUCAAGAUGCUUUGCUUAAAUUUCUCAGCCCUCAGGCUCUUCCUAAGGAUACCGCCACUGAUGAAGCUACACCAUCAACUUCAUCCUCAACAUCAACAGAUGCAUCACUUCUCAGUGCUGAUGUUUCCUCUAUAGCACAAGGUACCACCACCACAAGCUCUAUAAUUAUAGCUGAUAUCCUGCACAGCCCAGAGUUUAAACUGAUAAGUGUGUGCUGUCAUAUUGUUAG